This 139-nucleotide small RNA is filed under the name Pseudomonas thivervalensis. RNAcentral's name for it is "Pseudomonas sRNA P11". It matches the Rfam family "Pseudomonas sRNA P11". Rfam says of the family: P11 is located between a putative threonine protein kinase and putative nitrate reductase and appears to be conserved in several Pseudomonas species. P11 has a predicted Rho independent terminator at the 3'end but the function of P11 is unknown. Lineage: Bacteria; Pseudomonadati; Pseudomonadota; Gammaproteobacteria; Pseudomonadales; Pseudomonadaceae. The record is from RNAcentral.
CCCCGAAGCACUUGGCACAACCACUGCAUAACCUCUCUCACCAUACAUAAAGCAACGCCUCCAACGAUGAAGGCGGUGCUUCCCGAGAGAACGGGACCAGGACAAAGGCGUCCUCGCUAGCUUGUGCUAGCGGGACGCC